GACGAACGCUGGCGGCGUGCUUAACACAUGCUAGUCGAACGGAAAGGCCCUGCUUGCAGGGUACUCGAGUGGCGAACGGGUGAGUAACACGUGGGUGAUCUGCCCUGUACUUCUGGAUAAGCUUGGGAAACUGGGUCUAUUACCGGAUAGGAGCCAUCUUUAGUGUGGUGGUUGGAAAGUUUUUUCGGUGUUGGAUGAGCUCGCGGCCUAUCAGCUUGUUGGUGGGGUAAUGGCCUACCAAGGCGGCGACGGGUAGCCGGCCUGAGGGGGUGUACGGCCACAAUGGGACUGAGAUACGGCCCAGACUCCUACGGGAGGCAGCAGGGGGGAAGAUUGAACAAGGGGCGCAAGCCUGGUGCAGCGAGGCCGCGUGGGGGAAGGAGGGCUUCGGGGUGAAAACACCUUUCGCUAGGGAAGAAGCUUUUUUGGAAGGGAACCAAGAAAAGAGGAACGGGUAAACUAGGG
RNAcentral lists this ribosomal RNA (465 nucleotides) under uncultured bacterium. RNAcentral describes it as "partial 16S ribosomal RNA". It matches the Rfam family "Bacterial small subunit ribosomal RNA", at positions 28 to 506 of the family's 1533-position model. The record is from RNAcentral.